GACGAACGCUGGCGGCGUGCUUAACACAUGCAAGUCGAGCGAUGAAGUUCUUCGGGAAUGGAUUAGCGGCGGACGGGUGAGUAACACGUGGGUAACCUGCCUCAUAGAGGGGAAUAGCCUUCCGAAAGGAAGAUUAAUACCGCAUAAGAUUGUAGUACCGCAUGGUAUAGCAAUUAAAGGAGUAAUCCGCUAUGAGAUGGACCCGCGUCGCAUUAGCUAGUUGGUGAGGUAACGGCUCACCAAGGCGACGAUGCGUAGCCGACCUGAGAGGGUGAUCGGCCACAUUGGGACUGAGACACGGCCCAGACUCCUACGGGAGGCAGCAGUGGGGAACAUUGCACAAUGGGGGAAACCCUGAUGCAGCAACGCCGCGUGAGUGAUGACGGUCUUCGGAUUGUAAAGCUCUGUCUUCAGGGACGAUAAUGACGGUACCUGAGGAGGAAGCCACGGCUAACUACGUGCCAGCCGCCGCAGUAA
Molecule: ribosomal RNA, 477 nt
Filed under: uncultured bacterium
Lineage: Bacteria
Description: partial 16S ribosomal RNA
Rfam family: Bacterial small subunit ribosomal RNA
Source: RNAcentral